Non-coding RNA from Triticum urartu, 3414 nucleotides. NCBI's taxonomy places the organism in Eukaryota, Viridiplantae, Streptophyta, Magnoliopsida, Poales, Poaceae. The record is from RefSeq and is a predicted model, not a curated record.
GAAUCUCUUAUUGGGAAAGCUAAUCAUUAAUUAGAAAAUUGGCGUGCUUUCCAUCGAUAAACAGGAAGCAAAUAAUUUUUUUAGGGUCAGCAAAUGAUUUCUUUGGGAAUGUGCAGACACGUCAUUUAGAUUUGAGAUUUCCUAAGCUGAGGCAAGCUAGACAUUUGACAAUAUAACAGCUGAAAAAUAAACUUAAAAAGUAGAAAAAUAAUUAUCACAAAAAAAGUAGAAAAAAAAAGAAGUACAGAAGGAAAGAAACAGGGACGAGUUGUUUCCUUUUUGUCUCAGAUUUUUACCAUUCGUUUCGAGAACUGAAACUUGUGAGGUAUGCCUAGCAAUCACCGAGCAUAAAUAGAGCCGAUUCUUGUUAGCGUGCAUCAAGGAGAAGAAUUUUCUCUCCGUCUCGAAAGCAAGCGAAGCGAUGGAGGCGACGAGGGACACGACGCGGUCCUGCUCCGGCGGCCAGGCGGCGCUCGCUGCCAGCCUCGCGAGCCGCCUGGCCGACGACAACGCGGACAACAACCUGGUGCUCUCGCCGCUGUCCAUCUACGCGGCGCUCGCGCUCCUGGCCGCCGGCGCGCGGGGCGCCACCCUUGACGAGAUCCUCGGCGUCCUCGGCGCGCCGUCUCGCGCCGCGCUCGACGAGUUCGUCUCCCGCGUGGCGGGGGACGCGCUCAAGUGUUGGCGCCGCCUCGCGCGACACCGCUUUUUUUCUACCUCUUGCCUCACAUAAGAAGAAACUCCACACCCACACCCACUCACACAUGCACUAAGGAAGAACGCACAAGCUUUGCCAAGAGGCUUCCUUGAUGAUCACAGGUGGCUACAUUAUUUCUCCAGCCCUCACGGCUUCUUUUCUUCUCAUUUAUCUGAUCACGCAGCUCGGCAACAAGCUGACCCACUACUCAUGCACUAACCCACUAUCACGUUCAACAGCCACACUCAGCCACCAGCACGUACAGACGCAUGACCCGGCCAUCACUACCGGCCACUAACAAACUCACCCAUGAAGCUAGCUAACCACUUACAUGCAUCUAACCAAUCCAUCCAGCCUUAUCUUUCUUCUACAAUCUCUCUAGAAAUCACGACUUGGCCAUGUGACUUGUCGCCUUCGACUUUCAGACUUAGCAUGCAACACAGCCUCACGCGGCAGUGAACACCUCGCCAUGCACGCCGCUGCGUCCCGCCCUCCCACGCGUAUCCGACGCGCCCGACUGUAUCAGUGCGUCCCGCACGUCUCACACGCGCCCGACAAACUCAGCUGCACCAGACAUCGUAGCUUAUUCCAACACACACCCCCUAAGCCAUGCCUCAAAGGUGCCCGUCAUCUUCGACUCCGACGAUGUCCGCCAGCAGCGCGCGCUCCGCCGCCGUCGUCGUCGUGGUUGUUGUAGCCGCCACCGCCCUGACGUCGUUGCCACACGCCUCUGGCACGAGCCGCCGCUCGCUGCCGCUGCAGCAGCCUGCAGUCCCAUGCGUCGCUGCGCCGCGUCUCCGUGCCAUGCACCUCCAUGGUUGUCGCGCCGAGCCGCCGCGAACUCUGCGUCACCACGCAGGUCCUUCGCGACCUUCUCGUCUCCGCGACCGCCGUGCCCUUCGCGCGCACUCCCCACGUCCCCGCGCUCCCGGCCCGUGCUCCCGCCGCGCACGUACGCGAUCCCCGACGCGGUCCACUCCCGCGGUCCCGACGCGCCCGACGCGUCCAGUGCGCACCCAUAACACGCAACGGUCGCGCUCGGCUCGCUACCGCGGCUUAUUCGCCAUGCACCGCUGAGGCCUCAACCGCAGCGCAGCACCUCCGUGCUCACCGCGAACUUGCCACACGCCGCCGUCGCCACGCGCUUGCCCCGCACCGCAGCCUCCAUGUCGGCCGCGCUCGCCGUGGACGCCACCGCGUACCAUGGACGCCGCCACACGUCACGGCCGCCCCUCGAACCUGGUCGCUCUGAUACCAAUUGUUGGCGCCGCCUUGCGCGACACCGCUCUUCUUCUACCUCUUGCCUCACACAAGGAGAAACUCCACACACACCCACUCACACAUGCACCAAGAAAGAACACACAAGCUUUGCCAAGAGGUUCUCUUGGUGAUCACACGAUGGCUACAUUGUUUCUCCAGCCCUCACGACUUCUUUUCUUCUCAUUCAUCUGAUCACGCAGCUCGGCAACAAGCUGACCCACUACUCAUGCUGCUCAUGCAUGACUCCAUGCACUAACCCACUACCACGUUCAACAGCCACACUCAGCCACCAGCACGUACAGACACAUGACCCGGCCAUCACUACCGGCCACUAACAAACUCACCCAUGAAGCUAGCUAACCACUUACAUGCAUCUAACUAAUCCAUCCAGCCUUAUCUUUCUCCUACAAUCUCUCUAGGAAUCACGACUUGGCCAUCUGACUUGUUGCCUUCGUCUUUCAGACUUAGCAUGCAACACAGCCUCACGCGGCAGUGAACACCUCGCCAUGCACGCCGCUGCGUCCCGCCGUCCCGCGCGUAUCCGACGCGCCCGACUGCACCAGUGCGUCCCGUACGUCCUGCGCGCGCUCGACGAGCCCGGCUGCACCAGAUGUCGUGGCUUAUUCCAACAUCAAGGAUCACUCCGUGUCCGGCGGGCCGCGCGUCGCGUUCGCGCAUGGCGUGUGGACCGACCUCGCGUGCCCGUUGAAGCCAGCCUACCGCCACGCCGCCAUGAGCAUGUACAAGGCCGAUGCCAGCACCGUCGACUUCCGCAACAACCCGGAGGCGGCACGGGGUCAGAUCAACGCGUGGGUCGCGCAGGCCACGAGGAACUUGAUCGGCUCCGUCCUUGGCCCGGGAUCCAUAACGCCGCUCGCCCGCGCCGUGCUCGGCGACGCCAUGUACUUCAAGGGCAAGUGGGAGAAGCCCUUCGACAAGGAGGACACUGCCAACAAACCCUUCCACCGGCUCGACGGCCGCACGUCGACGUGCCCUUCAUGAAGAGCUGGAGUUCGCAGUUCAUCGCCGUGCACGAAGGGUUCAAGGUGCUCAAACUCCGGUACCGAAUGGCUCAAGCGCAAGGGUGGCGCGCCGAUCGGAACAAGCGUACGCAGUUUUCUAUGUGUAUCUUUCAUCCACAAGGCGGUCAUUGAGGUAAAUGAGGAAGGCACUGAAGCUGCAGCCUCCACAUUGAUGCAUCGUAGAGCUGGAUGUAGUGCAAUACCGCCACCGCCACCUCCUCGGGUGGAUUUCGUAGCUGACCAUCCGUUUGCGUACUUUAUAGUGGAGGAGGUGACCGGCAUAGUUGUCUUUGUGGGACACGUCCUUGACCCUUCUAAUGAGGAGUAGGUCAUCUCAUGCUCAUGAUUUUGAUUUGAUUUUAGUUUUUGCAAAUGUCGAUUUUGUUUUGAUUUGGGUCCCAGUUGGCAUAAUAAUAAUGAUGUAGUUUCAUGUUA